CGCGUACGUACGUACGCUGCGCAUCCGGUCGGUGGUUGACUCUUUUGUUUGCAUUACAAUUUACACGAGGGAAAAGCUCCAUCGCGGCACUCCUGAGCUGGACAGUGCGGAUGCGAUGCCACGCGUGACACCCAAAUUGUCUUUUUUUUUCUUUCUUCUUUUUAACCUUACUAGCUUGAAUACUUGAGCUUGAAUACUUGAUGCAAGUUGCUGGAAGGACCGAUCCAUCGAGAAACUGUUAGAACCAGAUUUGCUAUUCAUCGCCUUUCUUCACUUUAUCUUUUUUUUUAAUUCAUUUUGUUUCAUCACCCUUUGUUUUGCUAACCGACUACAAGAACGUUUUUUCCCAACUUUCUGUUUUUUCAACACAAUUCAUUUACUUUUUACUAAUUUGUUUUUUUAAGCUGAUAAUUUUUAAGAAAAUACUCCUCCGUUCGAAAAAAUACGACGUAUAACUUUUCUUGACCAACCAUAUAACAAAAUAUAACAACAUCUAUGGUGUCAAAUGUGUAAUAGGAUCGAGGUGUUGACUAGAGGGGGGGGUUGAAUAGGCAACUACAAAUUUUCACUUACUUUUACCAAUUUAGGCGCAGCGGAAAAUAGAGGUUAUCUAAAUGCAAUUAAGUGAAACAACCUAUAUGAUGCAAUACAAGCAAGCAACAAGACAAACACAAAGUAAUUAAGCUCAGGUAACCGAAGGGCUCGAAGGAGACAAGGAUUUAUCCCCAUGUUCACUUCCUUGGGAGGAAGCUAGUCACCGUUGGAGGGGUGAGGGAACCACGAGAGGUAUCCCUAAUAUCCCUGAAAAGGCACACCCAAUCUCCUUGAGCCUGCCACACCAAAGUAGGAGCUCAAUCACUAAGUGGUUGGCCUUGAGGUGGCCACCGAACCUUCACAAACUCCACGGGGCAAAUCCACAUCUAGGAGUCCCCACAACUCCAAGAGUAACAAGCACGAUGAAGAACUUGAAUAGGGACCAAAGCUUUGCUCAAAUUGAAUCUUGGGAUCUCAGUCCAACCUCUCUUCGAUCUCACAAGAUUAGGAGCUAGGGUUCUUGAGGGAGAGGGGAAAAGCUUUCCUUGGAUGGGAUCUCAAAUCUCACUCAAAACUCUCUUCUAUCCUCUCAAGAUUUGAAGGCUAGGGUUCUUGAGGAAGAGGGGAGUGUUCUUGGUGUUCUUGCUUGGGAUGCUCUGAGAAAACGUAGGCAAGUGGUCGGGGUCCUAACGGGAAGAAAUGGGGCGGAGGCCUUUAUACCCGUCACACAAAUUGCCCUUUUUUUUUUCUUUCUUCUUUUUGACCUUACUAGCUUGAAUACUUGAUGCAAGUUGCUGGAAGGACCGAUCGAUCGAGCAACGAAAAUAAAGAAAAUGUUAAGUGCGUCACUGUUAGUACCAUUAAUUUCCCAGAUUUGCUAUUCACCGCCUUUCUUCACUUUAUCUUUUUUUUUUCAAUUCAUUUUUUUUUCAUCGUCCUUUCUUUUUUUGAGGGAAAGCCAUCAUGGCGGCUUUAUUGAUUGAUAAACACACUUACAUCGUUCACAAGCAAACUAGAAAUAAAAUUGGGUGGAUCCUCAAGCCAAACAACACGCUGAGAAUCAACCGCCUGACGAGCUAAAGUGUGAGCUACCAAAUUACUCUCCCUAGGACAAUGAUUAAGACUAACAAAGCCAAAACCUCUAACAAGAAAAGAGCAUUCUUCAUAGAUCACCGCAGCAGGACCAAUGGACUUUCCGCCAUCGAGCAUCGUUUGCACCACCUCCAUGCAAUCACUAUUAAUCUCCAGUCUAUUACAACCCACCUGGCCAGCUAGCAAAAGCCCAUCACGAAGAGCUAUCGCUUCCGCGGUUGGCGCAUCUGCUACAUUCUCAAUACCAUAGCAACUACCUGCAAUGAAGGUACCCAUAUGAUCUCAUAUGACAGCCCCAGUAGCACCUGUCUCCGCAUCAGCAUUGAAAGCCGCAUCAACAUUCAAUUUAACAAAAUCAUCUUUCGGUCUCACCCAUCCGUGGCGUCUGAUUCCCGCGUUUUGGCGGCGAGCCCGAAAAUAAUUCGUAGCAAGAGCUGCAAUCGCAUGAGAAGACCUGGCAGGUUUCGCGAUUGCCUCACCUCGCACUGCUUGAUGGCGCUCCCACCAGGUAUACCAGCAAGCGGUAACAAUCAUCUCUUUUCUUCCAACGUCAGCAAAUAAAGAGCAAGGAGCAUCCGUUGACAUGAGCAGGGCCUCCAAAACUUCAGACCCUGAACGAAUAGGGACAUCCAACUCAUUGAUCAAGUCUGCCAAGCCCAAGUUUUCCCAGAUCUCCAUCACUCUCGGGCAUUUGAAAAAAGCAUGCAAAGUAUCCUCGCAAUGAAUCUUGCAUAAAGGGCAAGUACUGCUAGUUAUUAUAUGGCGAUUAGCGAGGACAAAGUUGCAAGGAAUAGUCCCAUGCAUGUAACAGGCGCCAGGAAAAAAUCUUCACCUUCGCUGAAACUUUCAAACUCCACACUUUGGACGCAACGGGAUUAUUUUCAGAAGUACUCUGUCCAUUCGUGCGUAAUAAUUUCCUUCCAUGUUGGUAGUUCCACUCCGUAUAGUACACAGAUUUGACAGAGAAGACCCCGUUCUUCGUGUUAUUCCAAGAAAUAAAAUCCUCCAUCAUUCCAACCGAGAGUGGAAUUCUCAAUAUGCGGUUAACAUCGAUAGGGAGAAGGAGAGUAUGGAGCAGAUCCUCAUCCUAGCUCCCAGAUUCCAAAUCAAUAAGCUCAGAAACCCGAGUAUAGACCACAUUUCCGCGAGCAGUAAGAAUUUUCCUUCAGGGGCUAUUCAGAAUCCACGGAUCAUUCCAGAUAUUAAUCUUUGAGCCAUCACCCACUCGCCAGAUAUAGCCUUUUUUGAAAGUUUGGAUGCCUGCCCAGAUACUUUGCCAGGUAUGUGAAGAACCUUUCUUGAGCUGGGAGUUAAGAAUGUCACCAUCAGGAAAGUACUUAGCUUGAAGAACUCUAGCACAAAGAGAAUCUGGUUCACAAAGAAGACGCCAGCAUUGUCUUGCCAACAUCACCAAAUUAAAACAUGGCAGAUCACGGAACCCCAUUCCUCCUCUCUUCUUAGGUAUGUACAUUUUCUACCAAGAAAACCAAUGCAUAUGUUUAUGAUCCUCAUCAUCUCCCCACCAGUAACAGGUCAUAGCAUCUGUGAUCCCUUUUGUUAUCUGUUUGGGGAGCUUGAAAACGGACAUUGCAUAUGCCGGGAUAGCCUGAGCCACGGCCUUAAGAAGAACCUCUUUACCGCCAUAGGAUAACACUUUCUCUUUAUAUCCAUUCAAUCUUUGACAUGUUCGAUCGAUAAGAUGUUGGAAACAAUCUGAUCUGUCCACCCCAACCAGAGGUGGCAGCCCCAAAUACUUAUCAGUGAUGGCUUCAGUUAAGAUAUUGAGUUCCGCACAUAUCACCUCUCUGACUUCUGCCGGGGUGCAAGGGCUGAAGAAAAUACUAGAUUUUUCAUCACUGACCAUCUGCCCCGAAGCACCACAAUAAUCUUGCAAAAUACUCCGAAGAGUUGUUGCGUUAGCCAGAUCAGCCUGCAUCAAAAUCAAGGAAUCAUCAGCGAACAAAAGGUGUGAAACUGAGGGGGCGUUCCAGCACACUUUGACCCCGAUGGGAGCCCCCGUGUCUUCAGCGUGCUUCAGGAGGCUGGUAAGACCGUAGAAAAAGAUAUGGUGACAAUGGAUCACCCUGGCGGAGACCUCUCGUGGGAGAGAACUUCUCAGUUUCUUGUCCAUUAAAUCGGACCUGGUAUCUCACCAAAGAGACACAUGCCAUGAUAAGAGUAACCCACGUUUGAUCAAAACCAAGUCGGAUCAAAAUCUUUUCAAGAAACCUCCACUCGACACGGUCAUACGCCUUGUGCAUAUCAAGUUUAAUGGCGCAUGCACCAAAUUUCCGCACCUCCUUCUUCUUGAUCGUGUGGUAGGACUCAUAAGCAAUGAGGACGUUGUCCGUAAUCAAACGACCCAGGACAAAAGCACUCUGAUGUGGCAAAAUAAUCUCAGGCAAGAGUAACUUCAAACGAGCCGUUAAGAGCUUCGAAAUAACUUUGUAAGUAACAUUACAUAAGCUAAUGGGACGAUACUGAGUUACCUUCUCCUGGCAAUCAAUCUUGGGAAUUAACAUAAUCAUCUUAUCAUUCCAGCCUUCCGGGAUAACACCUGAAUUGACCGCCAAAAGCACUGCGUCGAUAAUCUCAUCACCAAACAAGCUCCAGUAUCGCUUGUAAAAAAUGGCAUGAAGGCCAUCCGCCCCGGGGCUUUGAGAUCACCGAUGCUGAACAUUGCUUUCUUCACUUCUUCUCUGGAGUACAGCGCACGUAACAGAUCAUUCAUGGGCUGCGUCGCACACGGCACCACUUUAUUAAUAACCUCCUCAUCCGGAUCAGUGACUUCUGCAGUAAAGAGAUGCUGAAAGUACUCAUUAAUACGGGCUGAUAGUUCCUCUCUACCUUCAAUCCAAACAUCAUUGUUGUCCUUCAAUUUCUUGAUGAGGUUUCUCUUCUUUCUAGCAGUAGCAAAACUAUGGAAAAACUUGGUAUUACGGUCCCCAAAUUUCAUCCAAUCAGCUCUACUACGCUGCACCCACUUGAUCUCUUCUUGUUCAUCAAUGUUUUCAAUUUUCAGUUGAAUGGCUUGUUGCCGGGCCGUAGCCUCAUCAGACAGAGGACCCGCCAUAACAAUAUUAAGCUCCUCCUGAAGGGCGCUUUUCCGAACCCGAGGAGACUGAAGAACAUUUUUAUCCCAAUCAUGGAGUGACCGAUGAACCAAUUUCAGGCGGUCAGCUAAACUCAUCGGAACUCCUGAAUGUGCCCGUUGCCAUGCCUCUCCAAUAAUAUCAUCAAUUUGUUCUUCCAUCAACCAACGAGCAUCAAACAUUUUCUUGCCCGGCUGGCGAACAUCACCAACCCCCUCUAGGAAGGAACAAUCAAUCACCACCGGUCUGUGGUAGAUUUUGUAAAAUCCUCAUGAAUAACUGAAGCUAGUGGAAACAAAUCAUUCCAUCUGUGAUUGCACACAACCCGGUCUAGCCUCUCCCUAACUCUGCCUCGUCUCCAGGUGAAAGGAUCACCUGUAUAACCCAUAUCAAAGAGAGCGCAAUCAGAUAACGCAUCCUGAAACGCUUGCAUGUGCCGUUGAGCUCUGGCUGCACCUCCAUCCUUCUCAUGUCCCCAAAGAAUUUCGUUAAUAUCGCCUGCCACAAACCAUGGCAAAUCAGCCCGUCCAUGCAAGUUACGAAGGUACUCCCAGGUGAAUUGCUUCCGAUCUCCAUUCGGCUCACCGUAGAGACCGGUAAAACGCCACCCACCAUUAGAAGCCUCAUCAAUACGAAUAUCAAGGAAAUUAUUAUGCACCUCAGAAGAAGUCACCCGCAGAUCCUUCCUCUAGAGCAAAAGAAGGCCACCGCUUCUCCCGUCGCUCUCGGACAUAAUCAUGUGAUCGAAAGAGAGAUUACGUCUCAUGUUUUCUGCCCUUGCUUUAGUCAGAUGGGUCUCGGAGGAAAACAAUAUCUGGCUUUAUUCUUCCAUGGACCUCCACGAGCGCUCGCACAGCCGAGCGCUUACCCAAACCUUGUCAAUUCCAGCUAAGAAUCUUCAUAUCAACCAGAACGCCCUUAAGAAACAACCUUGACAGCACCUAAGACCGAAUUGGAUCGGUAGGAGAAAACUUGGCGACGUAAAACGUCCCAAGGAAAAAACCCAGAUUGGAAGCUUGGUCGGGUGAGCCCGACGGAGAAACAGAUUGGACUCACCGUCGGGGAUCGGUGGGAGGAGGUGUACUCAUCGCCGGGGCCGGCGGGAGGAGGUGGACUCACCGCCGGGAGACGGUGGGAGGAAGAGGCCGCCGGCCCUAACUCAUCGUCCUAGACUAAUGGAAGAGGCGUGAGGUUACUUUUUCAUCGUCCUUUGUUUUACUAACCGACUACAAGAAUGUUUUCCCCCAACUUUCUGUUUUUUCAACACAAUUCAUUUACUUUUUACUAAUUUGUUUUUUUAAUCUGAUAAUUUUUAAGAAAAUACUUCUCCGUUUGAAAAUAUAUGACGUAUAACUUUUCUUGACCAGCCAUAUAACAAAAUAUAACAACAUCUAUGGUGUCAAAUGUGUAACCAGACUUUGGGAGGAUCGAGGUGUUGACUAGAGGGGGGGGAGGGGGUUAAUGGGCAACUACAAAUUUUCACUUACUUUUGCCAAUUUAGGCGCAGCAGAAAAUAGAGGUUAUCUAAAUGCAACUAAGUGAAACAACCUAUAUGAUGCAAUACAAGCAAGCAACAAGACAAACACA
This 6305-nucleotide long non-coding RNA is filed under the name Brachypodium distachyon (stiff brome). Its description in RNAcentral is "long non-coding RNA (BDIS_LNC000415)". The record is from RNAcentral. Lineage: Eukaryota; Viridiplantae; Streptophyta; Magnoliopsida; Poales; Poaceae.